Molecule: ribosomal RNA, 253 nt
Filed under: uncultured bacterium
Lineage: Bacteria
Description: partial 16S ribosomal RNA
Rfam family: Bacterial small subunit ribosomal RNA
Source: RNAcentral
UACGAAGGGGGCUAGCGUUGCUCAGAAUCACUGGGCGUAAAGGGCGCGUAGGCGGGUCUUUAAGUCAGGGGUGAAAUCCUGGAGCUCAACUCCAGAACUGCCUUUGAUACUGAAGAUCUUGAGUUCGGGAGAGGUGAGUGGAACUGCGAGUGUAGAGGUGAAAUUCGUAGAUAUUCGCAAGAACACCAGUGGCGAAGGCGGCUCACUGGCCCGAUACUGACGCUGAGGCACGAAAGCGUGGGGAGCAAACAGG